CGCGUACUGAAUGCUUAUCCCCCGGUACCAUUCCAGUUCAUCUCCGACCCCCCACUGGCUUCUCUAUUCCUGCGCCUCCUACCAGAACGUCCCAGAAGCACUCUGCCAUGACGGCGAAGGCGGCUUACAAGUGAUAACCCACCAUCACCAUUGUCAUCAUCACUACCAUUGUCAUUAUCAUCUGAGUAAUUCAAACCACCAACAGGAGAAAUGCGGUGGAUACCAGCAGCACUCUCAUCCAUUGUUUGGUGGUUCGUUCUCUCAGACUGCCUCAGACGUCUAUUGAGCCCAUUCCCUGAUGGCCCAAAUGCAUGCAAUAGAAGGAAGACGUUCACCAAGUUUCGAUCAAAACCUCCAUUCCCCUCUGCAGCAUCUGCAUCAAAACCCCCAAUUUCUUCAUCUGUAUCAAAACCAUAAUUAUUUCCCUCUAUUACAUAAUCCCCAAAAACCAUUGCCCCAGGCAUCGUGGACCGUAUUGUACUAAUUACAUCAUCAUGUUCGCGUUCCCUCUCAAGCCUACUCCAUUUCUGCUCCAGAAUUGGAUCAACUUUGCGUGGCUGUGCAGAGGGGUGAGCUGUCUUCAUGUGCUUCCUUAGCUCCUUGUAAGUU
Molecule: unclassified non-coding RNA, 609 nt
Filed under: Hevea brasiliensis (rubber tree)
Lineage: Eukaryota; Viridiplantae; Streptophyta; Magnoliopsida; Malpighiales; Euphorbiaceae
Source: RNAcentral